UCACUAAGCGGAGGAAAAGAAACCAACAGGGAUGCCCCUAGUAAUGGCGAAUGAAGCGGGCAGAGCUCACGCCGGAAAUCCGGAGGCCUCUUACAGCCGCCUCCUGAAUUGUAGUCUGGAGAGGUGCCAUCGGUCCCCCUCGGCGCCAAAAUCCCUUGGAACGGGGUAUCGGAGAAGGUGAGAAUCCUGUCAAGCGCCGGAGUGGGACCGUACGAUGUGCUCUCGUAGAGUCGGGCUGCUUGGGAGUGCAGCCUGAAGCGGGUGGUAAAUUCCAUCUAAAGCUAAAUACUGGCGGG
This 296-nucleotide ribosomal RNA is filed under the name Phaeocystis globosa. RNAcentral describes it as "partial 28S ribosomal RNA". It matches the Rfam family "Eukaryotic large subunit ribosomal RNA", at positions 43 to 330 of the family's 3401-position model. Lineage: Eukaryota; Haptophyta; Phaeocystales; Phaeocystaceae. The record is from RNAcentral.